RNAcentral lists this small nuclear RNA (118 nucleotides) under Crocodylus porosus (Australian saltwater crocodile). RNAcentral's name for it is "U2 spliceosomal RNA (ENSCPRG00005017198.1)". Lineage: Eukaryota; Metazoa; Chordata; Crocodylia; Crocodylidae. The record is from RNAcentral.
NNNCUCCAUAGGAGGUCUAUAUUGAGCAGAUUCUUUUUGGUAUUGGGUGGUGGAACCGGAGCGUGCUCCAUCCACUCCAUGCAUUGACCUGGUAUUGCAGUGCUUCCAGGACCGGUGC